Molecule: ribosomal RNA, 477 nt
Filed under: fungal sp.
Lineage: Eukaryota; Fungi
Description: eukaryotic LSU rRNA
Rfam family: 5.8S ribosomal RNA (bases 117-270)
Source: RNAcentral
CGGCCCCGGGGUUUACCCCCCGGGCGCCCCUGGGCCCCACCGCGGGCGCCCGCCGGAGGUCACCAAACUCUUGAUAAUUUAUGGCCUCUCUGAGUCUUCUGUACUGAAUAAGUCAAAACUUUCAACAACGGAUCUCUUGGUUCUGGCAUCGAUGAAGAACGCAGCGAAAUGCGAUAAGUAAUGUGAAUUGCAGAAUUCAGUGAAUCAUCGAAUCUUUGAACGCACAUUGCGCCCGCCAGCAUUCUGGCGGGCAUGCCUGUUCGAGCGUCAUUUCAACCAUCAAGCCCCCGGGCUUGUGUUGGGGACCUGCGGCUGCCGCAGGCCCUGAAAAGCAGUGGCGGGCUCGCUGUCGCACCGAGCGUAGUAGCAUACAUCUCGCUCUGGUCGCGCCGCGGGUUCCGGCCGUUAAACCACCUUUUAACCCAAGGUUGACCUCGGAUCAGGUAGGAAGACCCGCUGAACUUAAGCAUAUCAAUA